This 53-nucleotide transfer RNA is filed under the name Aporrectodea caliginosa. Its description in RNAcentral is "partial tRNA-Asp". The record is from RNAcentral. Lineage: Eukaryota; Metazoa; Annelida; Clitellata; Crassiclitellata; Lumbricidae.
GAGAUACUAGUUAAAUAAUAAUAAUAAUGUCUUGUCAAGACAUAGUUACCAAA